This 75-nucleotide transfer RNA is filed under the name Hyphomicrobiales bacterium. RNAcentral describes it as "Rhizobiales bacterium tRNA-Gly". It matches the Rfam family "tRNA". Rfam says of the family: Transfer RNA (tRNA) molecules are approximately 80 nucleotides in length. Lineage: Bacteria; Pseudomonadati; Pseudomonadota; Alphaproteobacteria; Hyphomicrobiales. The record is from RNAcentral.
GCGGGUAUAGCUCAGAGGCAGAGCACCUGGUUUCCAACCAGGGUGUCGGGAUUUCGAAAUUCCCUACCCGCUCCA